This 864-nucleotide long non-coding RNA is filed under the name Hordeum vulgare. Its description in RNAcentral is "long non-coding RNA (HVUL_LNC017123)". The record is from RNAcentral. Lineage: Eukaryota; Viridiplantae; Streptophyta; Magnoliopsida; Poales; Poaceae.
UUUUGUAUUUAUCAUAAUAUAUAAGGUUUCCUGCAUAUAGUCCACCACCUGUACAUGUAUAUAUACCGGCCUAUGGCCUUAUGGAAAUACAAGUUGCUUUCCUAACAAUGGUCACAUUGCAAAUUACUCCCUCCGUAAAGAAAUAUAAAAGCGUUUGUAAAUGCUUUUAUAUUUCUUUAUAGGGGAGUAGAGUACACACGGAACAAUCACCAAACAUGUUGAAAACAAUCACCAUCCGUAACAGCACGGUUGAAGAGAACUUUUACAUCAUCAUCGCAUCUCCAUCCUCUCUGUUGGCCACGUGAAUCCCAAACCCCGCAGGCCGCAAUCAGUCAGACGAUAUCUGAACUACAUCAACUGAGCAUCACUUGUGUCUGAGUGCCCAAAGUGUUCUUCAUGUUCUAGCUCCUCACUGAAGUCACCACAACAAAUCCAGGGACCAGACCCAUGGGUACUCAACCGACAAAGUAGGCUCCAGAAUUCAUGUGUCUCUGAUCUUUCUCCAAGGCAGAGAUUUUCCCUCCGUCACUUCAAAAACCAAAAACACAAUAUGCAUGGUAGCGCUUCGGAGAAACCAAAACAGUACUUUGCCAAAACAAAAACAAAACCAACACAAUGCCCAUCACGGCUUACACCGAAACUACCAGUAAAACCCAUAGGCCUCACAGAAUCCCUCGUUUCAGUUCCAGAAAGGAAUAAGAAGGUGGGACGGUAUCGCCGCACAAGCCUUUCAGUUCCAGAAAGGAAUAAGAAGGUGGGACGGUAUCGCCGCACAAGCCACCACGGCAGUGGCAUCCAUCCAUCCCAAGACCACGACAGUUCCAGCAUAUGAGACUCAUCACGUCUGUUGGAGAUAGGAGACCG